This 468-nucleotide ribosomal RNA is filed under the name uncultured bacterium. RNAcentral's name for it is "partial 16S ribosomal RNA". It matches the Rfam family "Bacterial small subunit ribosomal RNA", at positions 28 to 507 of the family's 1533-position model. The record is from RNAcentral.
GACGAACGCUGGCGGCGUGCUUAACACAUGCAAGUCGAACGGAAAGGCCCUGCUUUUGUGGGGUGCUCGAGUGGCGAACGGGUGAGUAACAAGUGAGUAACCUGCCCUUGACUUUGGGAUAACUUCAGGAAACUGGGGCUAAUACCGGAUAGGAGCUCCUGCUGCAUGGUGGGGGUUGGAAAGUUUCGGCGGUUGGGGAUGGACUCGCGGCUUAUCAGCUUGUUGGUGGGGUAGUGGCUUACCAAGGCUUUGACGGGUAGCCGGCCUGGGAGGGUGACCGGCCACAUUGGGACUGAGAUACGGCCCAGACUCCUACGGGAGGCAGCAGUGGGGAAUAUUGCACAAUGGGCGGAAGCCUGAUGCAGCAACGCCGCGUGCGGGAUGACGGCCUUCGGGUUGUAAACCGCUUUCGCCUGUGACGAAGCGUGAGUGACGGUAAUGGGUAAAGAAGCACCGGCUAACUACGUG